GCCCUAGUAACGGCGAGUGAAGCGGCAACAGCUCAAAUUUGAAAUCUGGCUUCCUUUGGGAGUCCGAGUUGUAAUUUGCAGAGGGCGCUUUGGCGUCGGCAGCGGUCUAAGUUCCUUGGAACAGGACGUCACAGAGGGUGAGAAUCCCGUACGUGGUCGCCUGCCUUCGCCGUGUAAAGCCCCUUCGACGAGUCGAGUUGUUUGGGAAUGCAGCUCUAAAUGGGAGGUAAAUUUCUUCUAAAGCUAAAUACUGGCCAGAGACCGAUAGCGCACAAGUAGAGUGAUCGAAAGAUGAAAAGCACUUUGGAAAGAGAGUCAAACAGCACGUGAAAUUGUUGAAAGGGAAGCGCUUGCCGCCAGACUUGCCCGUGGUGGUUCUCCUCCUCGGGCAGGCCAGCAUCAGUUUGGGCGAUCGGAUAAUGGCCUCUGUCAUGUAUCUUCCUUCGGGAUGACCUUAUAGGGGAGUCGUAGUACGGUCAGCCCGGACUGAGGUCCGCGCAUUUGCUAGGAUGCUGGCGUAAUGGCUGCAAGCGGCCCGUCUUGAAACACGGACCAAGGAGUCUAACAUCUAUGCGAGUGUUUGGGUGUCAAGCCCGAGCGCGCAAUGAAAGUGAACGGAGGUGGGAACCCUCUCUGGGGGUGCACCAUCGACCGAUCCUGAAGUCUUCGGAUGGAUUUGAGUAAGAGCAUGGCUGUUGGGACCCGAAAGAUGGUGAACUAUGCUUGAAUAGGGUGAAGCCAGAGGAAACUCUGGUGGAGGCUCGCAGCGGUUCUGACGUGCAAAUCGAUCGUCAAAUUUGGGCAUAUGGGCGAAAGACUAAUCGAACUAUCUAGUAGCUGGUUCCUGCCG
Molecule: ribosomal RNA, 850 nt
Filed under: Dictyocheirospora nabanheensis
Lineage: Eukaryota; Fungi; Ascomycota; Dothideomycetes; Pleosporales; Dictyosporiaceae
Description: partial 28S large subunit ribosomal RNA
Rfam family: Eukaryotic large subunit ribosomal RNA
Source: RNAcentral